Molecule: transfer RNA, 71 nt
Filed under: Gennadas parvus
Lineage: Eukaryota; Metazoa; Arthropoda; Malacostraca; Decapoda; Benthesicymidae
Description: tRNA-Val
Rfam family: tRNA
About the family: Transfer RNA (tRNA) molecules are approximately 80 nucleotides in length. Their secondary structure includes four short double-helical elements and three loops (D, anti-codon, and T loops).
Source: RNAcentral
CAAAGUAGAGCUUGAAAGUUAAGCACCUCACUUACGUUGAGGAGUUCGUUGUGCAAAUCAAUGUAUUUUGA